CUUGACUCGUGAGACGUUUCUUCCUCUGGUAUCCAUGUUAAACUUGCCACGUUUCUGUUUUGAACUUUUGUCGAAAAUAUUAACCGAACCAGCUAUUUGAAGGCUUGUAAGGUUUAUUAUAUGGCAUGAAGGGCUGAAUCAAGCAAGAGAUUAAAAGUUGGAUGACUAAGAUCGAGUUGAAUACGAAACCGAAGACAUGAAUGGCGUUCAGACCCAAAGGCACAAAGGAUUCAGUAGAGUGCCUUGUGCAAGCGGAGUUUUCAUUCAUCAAGGAUAAAAUAUGACGCAUAGAGGGUUGGCAGUGGAGGAGGAAAAAACAGCCAAGGAUGUUAACAUCGUAUUAUUAAUUCUGCGGUUCAUCACAAGAAGUUGGCAUGAAGCAUCAAGAUACGAAGACUGGAUUCAUUUGUCCACUCCCUCCCCCCUGUUUUUCUCGGUCGUCUGGUCACCUGUAAUUUAAGUCACUGUCUCCUUUGCUAGUUGUUUGCUCCCUUGUCAGCUGUCCCAUGCACAUUUUGACGUGUUUAGAGAGCUUUUCUGAGUGUAAUCAUCCUCACCUUACUUGUUGUUAUAAAGUGGAUCUGCAAACUAGUACUACUUACUUUAUUGGUCUAGAAUUUGCUUGUUGGCAUCUUGGAAGGUGUU
Molecule: long non-coding RNA, 645 nt
Organism: Macrobrachium nipponense
Lineage: Eukaryota; Metazoa; Arthropoda; Malacostraca; Decapoda; Palaemonidae
Exons: 3
Source: RefSeq, a predicted model, not a curated record